AAAUGUUCUCAACCUGAAUAUGCAUGAAAUAUUAACCUCAGAAUGUAAAGCAACCAAGAAGUAAUAUAACAAAAGGAACAUCAAACAUGAAAUUCCUUUGGUAAUUAAGUACAGAUACCUAUCGUCUUUGAACAAUACUACUGCCAUUUUUUUGGUCAGGUGAAGCAAAAAUCCUCCAACCACACAUUACUUAUACUUAUUUAUUAUCUGUUUACAUUAAAAUUACCAAAACCUGAACAGAAUAUCUUCUUGUUUAGAAAUUGAAAUAGGGAUCACAUUUUACAUUAUAUUAAUACCUUAUUGGUGCAGACCAGGCAGUCUUAUUACCAGUUAAAACAUCUGACUUUGAUGAAAAUAUAACAUAAGCCAAGACUUCAUUUAUUUACAUAUGUAUAUAAUUUGUGUAUUUAAAGUCUAACAAACAAAAAAGUAACAAAUGAACAAAUGUUUCAAUAGUACAUUUAACAUAAACAAAAAUAUAUUGAAAUCACCAUCUUAAAUGUCCAGC
This 508-nucleotide long non-coding RNA is filed under the name Mytilus galloprovincialis (Mediterranean mussel). The record is from RNAcentral. Lineage: Eukaryota; Metazoa; Mollusca; Bivalvia; Mytilida; Mytilidae.